CAUGAUUUAGCCAGUACCCCCAAGCAAAGAGACCUUUAGUUUGAUACCCCGAAACCAGGUGAGCUACCCCGAGACAGCCUAUGUUAAUUUAGGGCUAACCCGUCUCUGUGGCAAAAGAGUGGGAAGAGCUCCGGGUAGAAGUGAAAGACCUACCGAACCUGGUGAUAGCUGGUUGACUGAGAAAUGGAUAGAAGUUCAGCCUCGCACACCCCAAACCAAAAAUAUUAUCACCAAGAUAUUUAGGGAAAAGUGCGAGAGUUAGUUGAAAGGGGUACAGCCCUUUUAACAAAGGAUACAACCUUAACAGGAGGAUAAAGAUCAUAAUAUAUAAGAUAUGCUGUUCUAGUGGGCCUGAAAGCAGCCACCUAAACAGAAAGCGUUAAAGCUCGGACAGAAAGAAGUUUAUUAUACAGAUAAGAAAUCUUAUUCCCCUAACUAUAUUAGACCAACCCAUGCCCCCAUGGAAGAGAUUAUGCUAAAAUGAGUAAUAAGAAGACCCGCUCUUCUCCCAGCACAAGUGUAAACCAGAUCGGACUAACCACUGGAACUUAACGAACCCAACCCAAGAGGGUAGUGUGACUAACAAAAAACUCAAGAAGGCCUCACACUAACUAAUCGUUAACCCCACACUGGAGUGCUAUUUUAAGGGAAAGACUAAAAGAAGGGGAAGGAACUCGGCAAACACAAGCCUCGCCUGUUUACCAAAAACAUCGCCUCCUGCAACUAAACUGAGUAUAGGAGGUCCAGCCUGCCCAGUGACUACGGGUUCAACGGCCGCGGUAUCUUGACCGUGCAAAGGUAGCGCAAUCACUUGUCUCUUAAAUAGAGACCUGUAUGAAUGGCUAGACGAGGGCUUAACUGUCUCCCCCCUCCAGUCAGUGAAAUUGAUCUAUCCGUGCAGAAGCGGGUAUAAAUAUACAAGACGAGAAGACCCUUUGGAGCUUAAGGUACAAAAUACAACCACGUUAAACAACUCCAUAAAAAGCAAGAACUUAGUGGUAAUGAAUUUUUACCUUCGGUUGGGGCGACCGCGGAGGAAAAACAAGCCUCCGAGUGGACUGGGCCAAUCCCUGAAGCCGAUAGAGACAUCUAUGAGCCGCAGAACAUCUGACCAAAAAUGAUCCGGCUAAAAAGCCGACCAACGGACCAAGUUACCCAAGGGAUAACAGCGCAAUCCCCUCCCAGAGCCCAUAUCUACGAGGGGGUUUACGACCUCGAUGUUGGAUCAGGACAUCCUAAUGGUGCAGCCGCUAUUAAGGGUUCGUUUGUUCAACGAUUAAAGUCC
This 1285-nucleotide ribosomal RNA is filed under the name Rhynchocypris oxycephala (Chinese minnow). RNAcentral describes it as "Phoxinus oxycephalus (Chinese minnow) partial 16S ribosomal RNA". It matches the Rfam family "Bacterial large subunit ribosomal RNA", at positions 614 to 2596 of the family's 2925-position model. The record is from RNAcentral. Lineage: Eukaryota; Metazoa; Chordata; Actinopteri; Cypriniformes; Leuciscidae.